Molecule: unclassified non-coding RNA, 385 nt
Filed under: Zea mays
Lineage: Eukaryota; Viridiplantae; Streptophyta; Magnoliopsida; Poales; Poaceae
Description: misc RNA Zm00001eb040270
Source: RNAcentral
GCGCUGGCCACGUCGUCCGCGCUCGCCGGGCGGACCACGGCCGCGGGCAUGGCGCUCGCCAGCCCGCCGAAAUCCGUCGCCGCCGCCGCCGCGCACCCGCCCGCCGUGGUGGCGGGCUCGCGGCCGGCGUCCUCUGGCUCGGCGGCCGCCGUCGCGCGGUCCAUGUACGCGAGCAUCAUCUUCUUGCUUUGCGACGAGGAGCUGGCUGCUGAUGGAGGGGAGCUCGGCUGUGUCAAAGGGGGAAACCUUCCCCUCCGCGAGGUGAUUGGUGAAGCAGAGGCAGAGCAGCUAGCUCUAUAUGUUUCGUGAUGUCACGGCGCUCUGCUUGCUUGAGGCUUGAGCUCGUGGUAGUUUGGGUCGCCGGGGGGUUUUAUAACGAGCGGAC